UGGUGGAGUAAAUGAUAGUGAUGGUAAAAAAAUGUAUAAGUGAUAAUAAAACUUACUUCUCAUUGCUCCUCAUAUUGCUAUCUCUCCUCUUCUUUGAUCUUUGCUUUGGGAGAACAUGGGCUAUCUCUUUUUUUUUCAGGUGGGUAGUAGACACCCCUAAUUCUACUGUCGGACACUUGUCCAUUUUUUUCCACUCUAGUGGGCAUCUUUGUACCCCUAAUUCUACUCCGGACACUUGUCCAUUUUUACCUCUUGUCUCACACUUUUUCUUUCUUUUUCGAGGUUCCGGGCACUUGCCCCUUUUUAUUUCCUCGCAUAUUUUUGCAUAACCCAUGCCUCUUUUGUAUAGAAUCUUUUUAGAGAGAGAGAAUAACAAUAUUUGGGACAAUGAGUGAUAAUAUUUUUAGCAAUUUUAAUGAGUGGUGGUGGAGGGUGUAGUAGAUGUGUGCAAGUGAAUAUCUUAAUUUAACCACAUGAAAAGCUCCUAAGGGUCUACAC
Molecule: long non-coding RNA, 498 nt
Filed under: Sorghum bicolor (sorghum)
Lineage: Eukaryota; Viridiplantae; Streptophyta; Magnoliopsida; Poales; Poaceae
Description: long non-coding RNA (SBIC_LNC015862)
Source: RNAcentral